This 634-nucleotide ribosomal RNA is filed under the name uncultured Marinobacter sp. RNAcentral describes it as "bacterial SSU rRNA". It matches the Rfam family "Bacterial small subunit ribosomal RNA", at positions 870 to 1504 of the family's 1533-position model. Lineage: Bacteria; Pseudomonadati; Pseudomonadota; Gammaproteobacteria; Pseudomonadales; Marinobacteraceae. The record is from RNAcentral.
CGCCUGGGGAGUGCGGCCGCAAGGUUAAAACUCAAAUGAAUUGACGGGGGCCCGCACAAGCGGUGGAGCAUGUGGUUUAAUUCGACGCAACGCGAAGAGCCUUACCUGGCCUUGACAUGCAGAGAACUUUCCAGAGAUGGAUUGGUGCCUUCGGGAACUCUGACACAGGUGCUGCAUGGCCGUCGUCAGCUCGUGUCGUGAGAUGUUGGGUUAAGUCCCGUAACGAGCGCAACCCCUAUCCCUAGUUGCUAGCAGUUCGGCUGAGAACUCUAGGGAGACUGCCGGUGACAAACCGGAGGAAGGUGGGGAUGACGUCAGGUCAUCAUGGCCCUUACGGCCAGGGCUACACACGUGCUACAAUGGCGCGCACAGAGGGCUGCAAACCCGCGAGGGGGAGCCAAUCUCACAAAACGCGUCGUAGUCCGGAUCGCAGUCUGCAACUCGACUGCGUGAAGUCGGAAUCGCUAGUAAUCGUGAAUCAGAAUGUCACGGUGAAUACGUUCCCGGGCCUUGUACACACCGCCCGUCACACCAUGGGAGUGGAUUGCACCAGAAGUGGUUAGUCUAACCUUCGGGAGGACGAUCACCACGGUGUGGUUCAUGACUGGGGUGAAGUCGUAACAAGGUAACCGUA